This is a non-coding RNA of Thamnophis sirtalis, 1918 nucleotides long. NCBI's taxonomy places the organism in Eukaryota, Metazoa, Chordata, Lepidosauria, Squamata, Natricidae. The record is from RefSeq and is a predicted model, not a curated record.
GCCUCCAGGACUGGCCCAUGUUCCUCCCCAACCUCCUCACUGUCCAAAUCUGCUGCCAGCUCUGCAGGCCGUCAGCGGACCACAGCACCUCUGCCCUAGAAGGUGGCACUGAGAAAGGGGAAAUAAAAAGGCCCAGGUGACCCUAGAAUAUUGAGAGAAGGGGCUGCCCACGUUGCUUUGGAGAAGAAAGGCGGUUAGGAGAGAAGGGAGAAAAGCUGGCACCCUUUUUUUUGGCAAGGGGGCUUUGGGGAGCUUAGGAGAAAAGGCGAUGGGGCAGGAGGAAAGGGUAGCCCAGGUGGAAUGGGUCACACCCAGGGAGUUAGAGGGUGCCCCCUCUGAAGAGACUGCCCUAUGGGAGCUCCUGGGCCGGCCAAAGCUGUUUCUCCACACGUCUCACUUGAUCUCUUUCUGUGUCUCUACUUCCAGGAGCCAAAAGCUCUUUUUUCCCCUCUUUGUUUCUUCUUCCUUCCAGCCUUCCCGCUCAAUCUUUCUUUCUUUGGCACAAUCGAAAACCGCGUUUAACAUAGGCCUCUCUGCCAUAGCCUGGAGUCCCUUUUUUAAAAAAAAUUCACAAGGGAAAAACCGAAGCAAGUUCAACCUCCAGGAAGAGUCCAGCCACAGCACGGGGGUUUGACUUCAAACAGGUGGCAUUAGGGCUGCAGGUGGGGCCGGCCCAGGAGGACCCCUCCCUCAAAACCUUCAGCACUUCUCCUGGCUUCCGCCUGGAUGGACUUCUCGUUGGGCACCUGCGUUUCCAAAAGACGGUAGGGGCCUGGCCUUCUCGGGGGGAGAGAGAGGCCCGGCUGGACUCAACGCCAGCGGCUUCCAGCGCCCCAACUGGGCUACUAUUAUGCCUAAGACAUUUGUAAGCAGAGCUUGACUGCGGAGAGUUGGUGGACCUGAGCGAAAUGUGUUGGUGGAGGAGAGCGGCGGCCAGCAAAUACAGACUCGACUCUUUUGACGUUUGUGGUGCAAACGGGAAGGUGGCUGCCAGGCCCUUCCUCCUCAUUGCCUCCUCCGUGUCAACAGGGCUCUCUCUCUCUGUGUGUUUCUACCUUCCUGCCAUGCUAAUCCCUUAAGGGCUCCAGAUGCUCACUUCUCUUUAAAAGCACUUGCCGGACUCUGCCAGAUUUUGCGAUAACAGCCUCAAUGUUCGUUUCUGCCACCUGUCCUUGCCUGCUUGGCUACAGGCCCUGGUCUCGGCUCUGGAACCGACCCCAUGGGCCUGCCAUCUUGCCAGGGUCCCGAUGUCCUGCCUUGCAGACCCGGGUUGCAAGCCAUGACUCUUGGGAGUCCCCAAGCUCACCUGAGUGCCUGCACCAGGCCCAGCACGCCCCCCCAGACUAGUCCCGGUCCUUUGCCUACCCCACUGCCCAAACUGUGCCAAAGACCAGCUCUGGGAAUCCUGCGCCUCUCUUCUGCCUCCUGGCAUUGGGCUUGCCAGUUUCCUGUUUGCCCUGGAUCAGCUGUUCUGGAACCGACGGGAUUUUUGCCAAGGGACUCCUGCUACAGAGGAGGGGCAGGCGGAUACUUGCCCCCCCCUCUCCAACCUGUUCUCCCUUCCAUGGCGGCCGUCCUGGAAAAGUCGAAUGGCAGGGCUGAAUCCUCCCCAUUUUCUCUGGGGCUGCCCCUUUUGCACUCUUGGGAAGGGCCCCGGGUCCCUGGCUUACCCCUGAAUUAUCUUCGGUUUUGGAUUUGCACUUCUAAGCUCUCACUGGCGAUCCCACGUUUCCCUUGGGCGAGCGAAACCCUCCGCUGAGGUUUUGGCAGAGAGACACUUCCCCCUCUCCCCUCUCGUUGCUCUACUCCACAGUAUUUCCCCUUUGGGACAUGCCCAUCCCUAAAUCUUAUUUUUUAAAGUCAAUAAAGAAUCAGAGGGAUUCUGGGAGAAGCAAAUCCCGUUCCCUUUCUCUCCCUC